UACGGAGGGUGCGAGCGUUGUCCGGAAUCAUUGGGCGUAAAGGGCGCGUAGGUGGCCCGGUCAGUUCGUGGUGAAAGCGCGGGGCUCAACCCUGCGUCGGCCAUGAAUACUGCCGCGGCUGGAGCACUGUAGAGGCAGGCGGAAUUCCGGGUGUAGCGGUGGAAUGCGUAGAGAUCCGGAAGAACACCGGUGGCGAAGGCGGCCUGCUGGGCAGUAACUGACGCUGAGGAGCGAAAGCGUGGGGAGCGAACAGG
RNAcentral lists this ribosomal RNA (254 nucleotides) under uncultured bacterium. RNAcentral's name for it is "partial 16S ribosomal RNA". It matches the Rfam family "Bacterial small subunit ribosomal RNA", at positions 524 to 776 of the family's 1533-position model. The record is from RNAcentral.